This 251-nucleotide ribosomal RNA is filed under the name uncultured bacterium. RNAcentral describes it as "partial 16S ribosomal RNA". It matches the Rfam family "Bacterial small subunit ribosomal RNA", at positions 524 to 771 of the family's 1533-position model. The record is from RNAcentral.
UACGAAGGGGGCUAGCGUUGUUCGGAAUUACUGGGCGUAAAGGGCGCGUAGGCUGUGCUGUAAGUCAGGCGUGAAAUCCCCGGGCUCAACCUGGGAAUUGCGUUUGAUACUGCGGCGCUGGAAUGCAGGAGAGGAUGGCGGAAUUCCCAGUGUAGAGGUGAAAUUCGUAGAUAUUGGGAAGAACACCGGUGGCGAAGGCGGCAGCUCUGGCCUGUAAUUGACGCUGACGGCGCGAAAGCGAUGGGGAGCAA